RNAcentral lists this ribosomal RNA (494 nucleotides) under uncultured bacterium. RNAcentral describes it as "partial 16S ribosomal RNA". It matches the Rfam family "Bacterial small subunit ribosomal RNA", at positions 28 to 507 of the family's 1533-position model. The record is from RNAcentral.
GACGAACGCUGGCGGCGUGCUUAACACAUGCAAGUCGAACGGAAAGGCCUGCUUUCCCUUGUGGAUUGCGGGUACUCGAGUGGCGAACGGGUGAGUAACACGUGAGUGAUCUGCCCCCAACUUGGGUAUAAGCCUGGGAAACUGGGUCUAAUUCCCGAUAGGACUGCAGGGUGGUGCCUGUGGUGGAAAACGAUUUUCUAGUGGUUGGGGAUGAGCUCGCGGCCUAUCAGCUUGUUGGUGGGGUAAUGGCCUACCAAGGCGGCGACGGGUAGCCGGCCUGGGAGGGUGGACGGCGACAUUGGGACUGGGAUACGGCCCAGACUGCUACGGGAGGCAGGAGUGGGGAAUAAUGCACAAUAGGCGGAAGCCUGAAGCAGCGACGCCGCGUGGGGGAUGACGGCCUUCGGGUUGUAGACUCCUUUCGACCGAGAGGAAGCCACCUGGUUGGAAGGGUAGUGACGGUAGUGGUAGAAGAAGCACCGGCUAACUACGUG